RNAcentral lists this ribosomal RNA (251 nucleotides) under uncultured prokaryote. RNAcentral describes it as "partial 16S rRNA". It matches the Rfam family "Bacterial small subunit ribosomal RNA", at positions 525 to 775 of the family's 1533-position model. The record is from RNAcentral.
ACGGAGGAUGCAAGCGUUAUCCGGAUUCAUUGGGUUUAAAGGGUGCGCAGGCGGAUUAAUAAGUCAGUGGUGAAAUCCUACGGCUCAACUGUAGAACUGCCAUUGAAACUGUUAGUCUUGAGUAGUGUUGAGGUAGGUGGAAUGUGUCAUGUAGCGGUGAAAUGCUUAGAUAUGACGCAGAGCACCGAUCGCGAAGGCGGCUUACCAAGCAAUUACUGACGCUCAUGCGCGAGAGCGUGGGUAUCAAACAG